GCGAAACCGUGUGAUCUACCCAUGGGCAGGCUGAAGCUGUAGUAACAUACAGUGGAGGGCCGAACCGGUUGACGUUGAAAAGUCUUCGGAUGACCUGUGGGUAGGGGUGAAAGGCCAAUCAAACUCGGAAAUAGCUCGUACUCCCCGAAAUGCAUUUAGGUGCAGCGUUGAUCCAUAGUUUUAUAGAGGUAGAGCUACUGAUUGGAUGCGGGGGCUUCACCGCCUACCAAUUCCUGACAAACUCCGAAUGCUAUGAAAUGUUAAUCAGCAGUGAGGGCAUGGGUGCUAAGGUCCAUGUCCGAGAGGGAAAGAACCCAGACCAUCAGCUAAGGUCCCAAAAUAUAUGUUAAGUUGAAAUAACGAGGUUGGACUGCCCAGACAGCUAGGAUGUUGGCUUGGAAGCAGCCAUUCAUUUAAAGAGUGCGUAACAGCUCACUAGUCGAGCGGUCCGGCAUGGAUAAUAAUCGGGCAUAAACAUAUUACCGAAGCUAUGGCAUCGAAAGAUGGGUAGGGGAGCAUUGUAGUGUCGUCGAAGGUGUGUCGUGAGGCAUGCUGGAGAAGCUACAAAAGAAAAUGUAGGCAUAAGUAACGAUAAUGCGGGCGAGAAACCCGCACUCCGAAAAACCAAGGUUUCCUCAGCUAUGCUAAUCAGCUGAGGGUCAGUCGGGGCCUAAGGCGAACCCGAAAGGGACAGUCGAUGGACAACGGGUUAAUAUUCCCGUACCCGCUCACAUUAAAAGCGACGGAGGCGCGGCGUUGGUGCGCACUGACAGAAUAGUGCGUUGAACUCUACGAAAGUAGAGGAUAGUACGAUGAGGCUACGGCCAAGUCGAUAAUCCAGCAUAGCGACUUCCUAGAAAAGCAAGUGAAGCGGCCCGUACCGUAAACCGACACAGGUGGUUGGGAUGAGAAUUCUAAGGAGCUCGAGAGAUUCAUGGCUAAGGAACUAGGCAAAAUCGACCCGUAACUUCGGGAGAAGGGUCGCCCCACUUCGGUGGGGCCGCAGUGAAAAGGUCCAGGCGACUGUUUAUCAAAAACACAGGGCUAUGCUAAAUCGAAAGAUGACGUAUAUGGCCUGACACCUGCCCGGUGCUGGAAGGUUAAGUGGAGGGCUUAGGGGCAACCCGAAGGUCUUAAAUGAAGCCCCAGUAAACGGCGGCCGUAACUAUAACGGUCCUAAG
RNAcentral lists this ribosomal RNA (1181 nucleotides) under Prymnesium parvum. RNAcentral's name for it is "partial Bacterial large subunit ribosomal RNA". It matches the Rfam family "Bacterial large subunit ribosomal RNA", at positions 715 to 1955 of the family's 2925-position model. The record is from RNAcentral. Lineage: Eukaryota; Haptophyta; Prymnesiales; Prymnesiaceae.